This is a non-coding RNA of Ictidomys tridecemlineatus (thirteen-lined ground squirrel), 444 nucleotides long. Lineage: Eukaryota; Metazoa; Chordata; Mammalia; Rodentia; Sciuridae. The record is from RefSeq and is a predicted model, not a curated record.
CAGCUGCAUGAAUGUGUUGUCUAUAUAAAAGUAAAUGGCCCCUAUCUCUGAAUAUUACAAAAAUCAACUUGAAAUAACAACUUAAGUAUAAGGUCUGAAACUACUAGAAGAAAACAGAAAAUACUUCAAGACAUUGGAAUGGACAAAGACUUUUUCAAUAAGACCCCAAAGGCACAGGAAUCUCUUCAUUGGAGGAAAUUGACUCAAAGCAUAGGAAAGAAGACCAAAGGUUAACACCACAUCCAGACAGUCUACGUCACAGUCCAUCACCAGUUGUUCAGAUACCUCGAUUAUCUCCCCUAAGUUGCCCACAUGCCCCUCCCCUCUCUCCACUGAAGUCAGCAUAUAAACUCUUACAUUUCACUGGAUUGUUGGGUACUCACUUUUUUUCCCUUGUGAUAUACCUGUGCAUAUAAUAAAUUUGGAAGCAUUUUCUCCUGUUGA